UCCGGCUUAGCACCGGCAGUCCCAUUAGAGUUCCCAACUAAAUGAUGGCAACUAAUGGCGAGGGUUGCGCUCGUUGCGGGACAUAACCCAACAUCUCACGACACGAGCUGACGACAGCCGUGCACCACCUGUGAAAGUGUCCCGAAGGAAGACCGUGUUUCCACGGCUGUCACUUACAUGUCAAACCCAGGUAAGGUUCUUCGCGUUGCAUCGAAUUAAACCACAUGCUCCGCUGCUUGUGCGGGCCCCCGUCAAUUCCUUUGAGUUUCAGCCUUGCGGCCGUACUCCCCAGGCGGGGCACUUAAUGCGUUAGCUGCGGCACGGACAACGUGGAAUGUUGCCCACACCUAGUGCCCACCGUUUACGGCGUGGACUAC
This 377-nucleotide unclassified non-coding RNA is filed under the name uncultured bacterium. RNAcentral's name for it is "contains 16S-23S intergenic spacer region". The record is from RNAcentral.